GUACACACCGCCCGUCAAGCCAUGGGAGCCGGGAGCGCUUGAAGUGCGUCGCCGCGAGGCGCGCCCUAGAGCGAGACCGGUGACUGGGGCUAAGUCGUAACAAGGUACC
This 109-nucleotide ribosomal RNA is filed under the name uncultured bacterium. RNAcentral describes it as "partial 16S ribosomal RNA". It matches the Rfam family "Bacterial small subunit ribosomal RNA", at positions 1383 to 1500 of the family's 1533-position model. The record is from RNAcentral.